GACGAACGCUGGCGGCGUGCCUAAUACAUGCAAGUCGAACGCUGAAGGAGGAGCUUGCUCUUCUGGAUGAGUUGCGAACGGGUGAGUAACGCGUAGGUAACCUGCCUGGUAGCGGGGGAUAACUAUUGGAAACGAUAGCUAAUACCGCAUAACAGUAGAUGUUGCAUGACAUUUACUUAAAAGGUGCAAUUGCAUCACUACCAGAUGGACCUGCGUUGUAUUAGCUAGUUGGUGGGGUAACGGCUCACCAAGGCGACGAUACAUAGCCGACCUGAGAGGGUGAUCGGCCACACUGGGACUGAGACACGGCCCAGACUCCUACGGGAGGCAGCAGUAGGGAAUCUUCGGCAAUGGACGGAAGUCUGACCGAGCAACGCCGCGUGAGUGAAGAAGGUUUUCGGAUCGUAAAGCUCUGUUGUAAGAGAAGAACGAGUGUGAGAGUGGAAAGUUCACACUGUGACGGUAGCUUACCAGAAAGGGACGGCUAACUACGUG
RNAcentral lists this ribosomal RNA (495 nucleotides) under uncultured bacterium. Its description in RNAcentral is "partial 16S ribosomal RNA". It matches the Rfam family "Bacterial small subunit ribosomal RNA", at positions 28 to 507 of the family's 1533-position model. The record is from RNAcentral.